RNAcentral lists this long non-coding RNA (2643 nucleotides) under Dermacentor andersoni. Its description in RNAcentral is "uncharacterized LOC126523321". The record is from RNAcentral. Lineage: Eukaryota; Metazoa; Arthropoda; Arachnida; Ixodida; Ixodidae.
UCUCUACAAAACGGAACCUCUUUGCUACAGUCGUGUGGCUGCUUGUGUUCUUCUCCCCUAGCCAGAGGCAUGAAGGGGGGUUCACGGUCACUGACCAAGUCUCAUGUAUAACCCGACGUUUCGGAACUACACACGGGUUCCUCGUUCACUGAGUUGGACAGGAAAUCGUCGUCACCUAUGUAGCCAGCAUGUGACGUAAUGAACAUGCGUAAAUGGCAGGCAUAGUCCCUGGUGUCUGGUUCAUCGUAGCUGACGUCAAUUGAACGAUUAGCGAUUCUAGCAGCCGCCGGGAUGACAUGUUCUUUUCUUUGGCAACAACAGUGGCAUUGUCUCAGUCAAUCUUGUGACUAUGUUCCUGCGCAUGCUCGGCAAAUAAUAGUCGUGUGACUAUUAUUUCUUAGAUCAUGUUUUUUUUUUUUUUUUUCGUUUCCAUGCCUGACCAGCCGAACUUUCAUCGAAUCCUAGAUUAUGCAGCCAGAGGCAGUGGCACUCGUUGUGUCCUGUUUGAGAUGACUGGUCUUUUUGUCCGUGUCUAUCCACUAUCACCUGGGCUUAUCUCCUGGCUGCUGAAGUGUGCCUGCAUUUUCCAGGUCAACUACUCGGACAUUAAUGUCUGGAUACAAAUUGGGUAGAUCUUGUAUGCCAUGCCCAACAUCAGAAUAGCUGGAAUGUACAGACUAAAAAAGCUCGGAAGCGCUUGCACUCUUUGGAGAAUUUUGUAUGGGCAUUUUCAGGCUGUUCUGGUGACACUAAAAAAUACUGGCUCUCCUGUAAUCGAGAGUAGAUGUAAGCAUGAAAUGGCUGCCGACAAAGCAGAUUGAUUGUAGGUGGUACUAGCCACAAUCUUAAAAUGGGUGUAGCGCACAUUCGCAAUGGCACACCCCACCCCACUGCAUCACGCAACUGUACACUGGUCCAUAUGGAAGCAAGUUUCCUGUCAAAGACAGAACCCCAUUGCAAGUCUCGUCUCGGUCCACCAUAUGUGCCGUGGACCUCGCGGACUGCUGGCAUUGAAAAGAGCACAAGCAACUGUGUCUCAGUGCCAAAAAAUGACAAUCAAGUGUACAGUGCCUUGUAUCUGCCUCUGAACGUCGCUAUUAGAAGUGACAAAUAAAACUUCAGCGUACCAAAAGUUACAGCUUGAGUGAUAUUGUGAGCAAAUAUUUAGAACUCAGAAGCAAUAUUUUUUGUAACAUGUUUGGGAAGUAACUAGCAUAUGUAUUGCAGUCUUGACUGUUUGCCCGGAUGAGCUGGUUUGAGUGCCAGGAUAAUGGCUCUGGCUUUUGGUUCAUUGAAGGUGGCUGACAACAGGAGCUAAAAGCAUUUCAUGCUUAAAAUGUCUGCAGCAGCGGCACUGUUCGGUUAGUCAAGGACCUCAUUUCAUGGCCCUCAUUCUGACACCUUCGAACACUGUUUCUGCCUUUGUAACGCUUCCUAGAAUUUAUCCUUCAAAUUCUUAUGUGAAAGAACCAUGCAUCAAUUUUGGCGUAUUUCUCAAACUGUACGAGCAGAAUUGCUGCUGAUUUCAUAAAUACAACCUGUAAAUCAAUACAGCAGAAUUGUUAGUCGAAAUAUGUAAUCCAAAUCAAGGAGCCAUUCUCAAGACGAUGUUCCCGCUGGCACUGAUGCGUGGCAUUCCUGGCUUUGGUGAAAUCUUUAUUCUACAUUAUAAAGCAUGAAACAUUCACAGGUGCUCUUCUUUCCUUCUUUUUUGAGCUUUGCUGUUUCAAGGAGCUUUGCCCUUUGAGUGGCAGCAGCCUGGUUGACAUAACUUCUGACUCACGUAUUUAACAUUUUUGCACAGAUUGGUCAAGGAGUAGCCAGAUUUUGAGAAGUACAUCUUUAGCAGAGUCUAUAGGUGCUGGCUUUUGGUGUGGAGAGACAAGCAGCUUCAUAGCUUCCCUCCUGUCUCUUUUCAUUGCGUCAGCAAACUGAAAUGAAAACUCUCGAAACAGUAUAUUUGUUAAUGAGGAAUCUUUGCAAGGCACAUGGUGAAGCACAUGCCGAUGAAUUGCUUCAACCUUUUACAUUAAACAAAUUAUGCCAUGUGCUGUCGAGAGGCAAAUAAAGCUGUUCGCUUUAAAAAUUAACAAUAAUCUCCACAGUUUGUGAAGUGAUUGAGAUAUUGUUACCCAGUACCUUCAACAAAGAUGUUAUGGGAAACAGUGCAAGGAACUAGCAUACUUACACUAAUUGCAGGUAUUUGGCAGAGUUGUAUGGGAGACAAGAUAGCCAACCAAUUUUCCUUUAAUGCAUGUGAGCUUUGUCAUCUUCAUGGUGUAAUGUAAUCUUUUCAGGUAGCGGAUAAAGAAUGUGUGGCAACAUGAAAUGGCCGUUGACGACACAGGCGAGUAGUGGAUGCCACACUUCAGUUCUAAUUAAAGUUACAUCAGCACAGAGCAUGUAUGCUACGACCAAGUUGGGUCCAUACUUUGGAUUACCAUGUACAGUGUCACUCUCUUCUGCAUUCCAGAAGAUGGAAGCCAGUGUUUCUUUGCUGUUGCCAUUUCAAUUUAGUAUAUUUUCAUGUUUUCAUGCUCUGCAAAAUACAGCCAGAGGUUGCACGGUCUUGAAAUGAAGACUACUUUUUGUGUUUUCAAGAUAAAAUUUUAGCUAUAAUAAACGGAAUUUCCAAAAAACAAA